GGUUAAGCGACUAAGCGUACACGGUGGAUGCCCUGGCAGUCAGAGGCGAUGAAGGACGUGCUAAUCUGCGAAAAGCGUCGGUAAGGUGAUAUGAACCGUUAUAACCGGCGAUGUCCGAAUGGGGAAACCCAGUGUGAUUCGUCACACUAUCGUUAACUGAAUACAUAGGUUAACGAGGCGAACCGGGGGAACUGAAACAUCUAAGUACCCCGAGGAAAAGAAAUCAACCGAGAUUCCCCCAGUAGCGGCGAGCGAACGGGGAGCAGCCCAGAGUCUGAAUCAGCUUGUGUGUUAGUGGAACGGUCUGGAAAGUCCGACGGUACAGGGUGAUAGUCCCGUACACCAAAAUGCACAGGUUGUGAACUCGAAGAGUAGGGCGGGACACGUGGUAUCCUGUCUGAAUAUGGGGGGACCAUCCUCCAAGGCUAAAUACUCCUGACUGACCGAUAGUGAACCAGUACCGUGAGGGAAAGGCGAAAAGAACCCCGGCGAGGGGAGUGAAAAAGAACCUGAAACCGUGUACGUACAAGCAGUGGGAGCCUCUUUAUGGGGUGACUGCGUACCUUUUGUAUAAUGGGUCAGCGACUUAUAUUCUGUAGCAAGGUUAACCGUAUAGGGGAGCCGCAGGGAAACCGAGUCUUAACUGGGCGUUAAGUUGCAGGGUAUAGACCCGAAACCCGGUGAUCUAGCCAUGGGCAGGUUGAAGGUUGGGUAACACUAACUGGAGGACCGAACCGACUAAUGUUGAAAAAUUAGCGGAUGACUUGUGGCUGGGGGUGAAAGGCCAAUCAAACCGGGAGAUAGCUGGUUCUCCCCGAAAGCUAUUUAGGUAGCGCCUCGUGAAUUCAUCUUCGGGGGUAGAGCACUGUUUCGGCUAGGGGGUCAUCCCGACUUACCAACCCGAUGCAAACUACGAAUACCGAAGAAUGUUAUCACGGGAGACACACGGCGGGUGCUAACGUCCGUCGUGAAGAGGGAAACAACCCAGACCGCCAGCUAAGGUCCCAAAGUCAUGGUUAAGUGGGAAACGAUGUGGGAAGGCACAGACAGCCAGGAUGUUGGCUUAGAAGCAGCCAUCAUUUAAAGAAAGCGUAAUAGCUCACUGGUCGAGUCGGCCUGCGCGGAAGAUGUAACGGGGCUAAACCAUGCACCGAAGCUGCGGCAGCGACACUAUGUGUUGUUGGGUAGGGGAGCGUUCUGUAAGCCUGCGAAGGUGGCCUGUGAGGGUUGCUGGAGGUAUCAGAAGUGCGAAUGCUGACAUAAGUAACGAUAAAGCGGGUGAAAAGCCCGCUCGCCGGAAGACCAAGGGUUCCUGUCCAACGUUAAUCGGGGCAGGGUGAGUCGACCCCUAAGGCGAGGCCGAAAGGCGUAGUCGAUGGGAAACAGGUUAAUAUUCCUGUACUUGGUGUUACUGCGAAGGGGGGACGGAGAAGGCUAUGUUAGCCGGGCGACGGUUGUCCCGGUUUAAGCAUGUAGGCGGAGGUUCCAGGUAAAUCCGGUACCUUUUAACGCUGAGGUGUGAUGACGAGGCACUACGGUGCUGAAGUAACAAAUGCCCUGCUUCCAGGAAAAGCCUCUAAGCAUCAGGUAACAUUAAAUCGUACCCCAAACCGACACAGGUGGUCAGGUAGAGAAUACCAAGGCGCUUGAGAGAACUCGGGUGAAGGAACUAGGCAAAAUGGUGCCGUAACUUCGGGAGAAGGCACGCUGAUAUGUAGGUGAAGCCCCUGCGGGUGGAGCUGAAAUCAGUCGAAGAUACCAGCUGGCUGCAACUGUUUAUUAAAAACACAGCACUGUGCAAACACGAAAGUGGACGUAUACGGUGUGACGCCUGCCCGGUGCCGGAAGGUUAAUUGAUGGGGUUAUCCGUAAGGAGAAGCUCUUGAUCGAAGCCCCGGUAAACGGCGGCCGUAACUAUAACGGUCCUAAGGUAGCGAAAUUCCUUGUCGGGUAAGUUCCGACCUGCACGAAUGGCGUAAUGAUGGCCAGGCUGUCUCCACCCGAGACUCAGUGAAAUUGAACUCGCUGUGAAGAUGCAGUGUACCCGCGGCAAGACGGAAAGACCCCGUGAACCUUUACUAUAGCUUGACACUGAACAUUGAGCCUUGAUGUGUAGGAUAGGUGGGAGGCUUUGAAGCGUGGACGCCAGUCUGCGUGGAGCCAACCUUGAAAUACCACCCUUUAAUGUUUGAUGUUCUAACGUAGACCCCUAAUCGGGGUUGCGGACAGUGUCUGGUGGGUAGUUUGACUGGGGCGGUCUCCUCCCAAAGAGUAACGGAGGAGCACGAAGGUUAGCUAAUCCUGGUCGGACAUCAGGAGGUUAGUGCAAUGGCAUAAGCUAGCUUGACUGCGAGCGUGACGGCGCGAGCAGGUGCGAAAGCAGGUCAUAGUGAUCCGGUGGUUCUGAAUGGAAGGGCCAUCGCUCAACGGAUAAAAGGUACUCCGGGGAUAACAGGCUGAUACCGCCCAAGAGUUCAUAUCGACGGCGGUGUUUGGCACCUCGAUGUCGGCUCAUCACAUCCUGGGGCUGAAGUAGGUCCCAAGGGUAUGGCUGUUCGCCAUUUAAAGUGGUACGCGAGCUGGGUUUAGAACGUCGUGAGACAGUUCGGUCCCUAUCUGCCGUGGGCGCUGGAGAAUUGAGGGGGGCUGCUCCUAGUACGAGAGGACCGGAGUGGACGCAUCACUGGUGUUCGGGUUGUCAUGCCAAUGGCAUUGCCCGGUAGCUAAAUGCGGAAGAGAUAAGUGCUGAAAGCAUCUAAGCACGAAACUUGCCCCGAGAUGAGUUCUCCCUGAGACUAUAAGUCUCCUGAAGGAACGUUGAAGACGACGACGUUGAUAGGCCGGGUGUGUAAGCGCAGCGAUGCGUUGAGCUAACCGGUACUAAUGAACCGUGAGGCUUAACCUU
This 2905-nucleotide ribosomal RNA is filed under the name Klebsiella variicola subsp. tropica. RNAcentral's name for it is "23S ribosomal RNA". It matches the Rfam family "Bacterial large subunit ribosomal RNA". The record is from RNAcentral. Lineage: Bacteria; Pseudomonadati; Pseudomonadota; Gammaproteobacteria; Enterobacterales; Enterobacteriaceae.